RNAcentral lists this unclassified non-coding RNA (448 nucleotides) under Hevea brasiliensis (rubber tree). Lineage: Eukaryota; Viridiplantae; Streptophyta; Magnoliopsida; Malpighiales; Euphorbiaceae. The record is from RNAcentral.
GUCAACAUAGAAACACUGAAAAAGGAAAUUAUGGCUUUUCCUCAGCAAAGAAGAGGUUAAUCCCUGUCCUUGCAGCCAAGAGACAUGACUGAAGAAGAAAUGAUAUCAAACUCCCCCUCCAAGAAUGGAGAAAGUACCAAUGGCAUUGAUGAUAAACAGAGAAAAGUAUUUUGAAGUUGAACUGAGAUAUGCCAGAAAAACCAUGAAAUAGGAAAUUCAUAAUCUAGAACGAAUAAAGAGUAGAGAUUGAAUGAUAUGCAUUAAAGAAAUGUACAAAGCCAGCAACUAAAGAAUAUUUUUUAGCUCCGUCCUAAAUCAGGUGAUGGCUAACAGAAUUUCCAUAAAGAAAAAAAUUCAAAAGGGGGAAAAGGCAAAGGCAAGGAGGCAAAUGAUGUAACUGGUACUACAUAACUACAAAACUGCUACCUAUAUGUUCACUGACAUAAGG